GCGGAUGUGGCGGAAUGGCAGACGCGCACGUUUGAGGGGCGUGUGGGAGACCAUACGGGUUCAAGUCCCGUCAUCCGCACCA
Molecule: transfer RNA, 82 nt
Filed under: Clostridium omnivorum
Lineage: Bacteria; Bacillati; Bacillota; Clostridia; Eubacteriales; Clostridiaceae
Description: tRNA-Leu
Rfam family: tRNA
About the family: Transfer RNA (tRNA) molecules are approximately 80 nucleotides in length.
Source: RNAcentral